RNAcentral lists this transfer RNA (85 nucleotides) under Desulfovibrio sp. OttesenSCG-928-G11. Its description in RNAcentral is "tRNA-Leu". It matches the Rfam family "tRNA". Rfam says of the family: Transfer RNA (tRNA) molecules are approximately 80 nucleotides in length. Lineage: Bacteria; Pseudomonadati; Thermodesulfobacteriota; Desulfovibrionia; Desulfovibrionales; Desulfovibrionaceae. The record is from RNAcentral.
GGCCGGGUGGCGAAAUGGUAUACGCAGCGCACUCAAAAUGCGCCGUGCUACGCACAUGAGAGUUCGAAUCUCUCCCCGGCUACCA